This 253-nucleotide ribosomal RNA is filed under the name uncultured bacterium. RNAcentral's name for it is "partial 16S ribosomal RNA". It matches the Rfam family "Bacterial small subunit ribosomal RNA", at positions 524 to 776 of the family's 1533-position model. The record is from RNAcentral.
UACGAACUGUGCGAACGUUAUUCGGAAUCACUGGGCUUACAGGGUGCGUAGGCGGCUUGUUAAGUAGGGUGUGAAAGCCCCCGGCUCAACCGGGGAAUUGCGCCCUAAACUGGCGAGCUGGAGUGAGAUAGGGGUGUGUGGAACUUCCGGUGGAGCGGUGAAAUGUGUUGAUAUCGGAAGGAACGCCGGUGGCGAAAGCGACACACUGGAUCUUGUCUGACGCUGAGGCACGAAAGCCUGGGGAGCGAACGGG